Molecule: ribosomal RNA, 253 nt
Filed under: uncultured bacterium
Lineage: Bacteria
Description: partial 16S ribosomal RNA
Rfam family: Bacterial small subunit ribosomal RNA
Source: RNAcentral
GACGAACCUUGCGAACGUUGUCCGGAAUCACUGGGCUUAAAGGGCGCGUAGGCGGGCCAUCAAGUCCGGGGUGAAAUCCUCCGGCUUAACCGGAGAAUUGCCUUGGAUACUGGUGGUCUUGAGGGAAGUAGGGGUCUGCGGAACUUCCGGUGGAGCGGUGAAAUGUGUUGAUAUCGGAAGGAACGCAGGUGGCGAAAGCGGCGGACUGGGCUUCUUCUGACGCUGAGGCGCGAAAGCUAGGGGAGCAAACGGG